GUUUAUCAUUAUGGAAACAGAACCACUCGACUUUCUCUCCUCAUCCCUUUUGCCCAAACCACCCCUCCUGUAUCAGACUGUAGUGUCUGCUGGAAGCUCUUGGUCAGUCUGUGUCCUGUGUGUGCUCUCCUGUCCUCACUCCUCUCGUCCACCUGUGUGUACUGCAUCUGCAUCAACAGAACUAAAGCAGAAGCAGAAUCCGGUCAGGAAUAGAGGAACAGAAUACAGAGUCAGAAAAGCAGAACAAAUGAUGAG
This is a long non-coding RNA of Pygocentrus nattereri (red-bellied piranha), 255 nucleotides long. The record is from Ensembl. Lineage: Eukaryota; Metazoa; Chordata; Actinopteri; Characiformes; Serrasalmidae.